GAAAUGGCCACUACGUCUAAGGAUGGCAGCAGGCGCGCAAAUUACCCACUCUCAACAUGAGGAGGUAGUGACGAGAAAUAACGAGACCGAUCUCUUAUGAGGCCGGUCAUCGGAAUGGGUACAAUUUAAACCCUUUAACGAGUAUCUAUGAGAGGGCAAGUCUGGUGCCAGCAGCCGCGGUAAUUCCAGCUCUCAAAAUGCAUAGAAUUAUUGCUGCGGUUAAAAGCUCGUAGUAGGAUCUGUGCUAGCCGGGCGGUCCUCACACGGGGUGUGCACUGGUUCGGUUGGCUUUUCUGCCGGUCUCUCCGCGGCGUUGGCCUUCACUGGUCGGCGUCGGUGGGCUGGCGAGUUUACUUUGAACAAAUCAGAGUGCUUCAAACAGACGUUUCGCUUGAAUGUUCGUGCAUGGAAUAAUAGAAGAGGAUUUCGGUCCGAUUUUAUUGGUUUUGCUGACCGAGAUAAUGGUUAACAGAGACAAACGGGGGCCAUUCGUAUUGCUACGUGAGAGGUGAAAUUCUUGGACCGUAGCAAGACGGACUACAGCGAAAGCAU
This 552-nucleotide ribosomal RNA is filed under the name Globodera pallida. RNAcentral describes it as "SSU rRNA". It matches the Rfam family "Eukaryotic small subunit ribosomal RNA", at positions 400 to 954 of the family's 1831-position model. The record is from RNAcentral. Lineage: Eukaryota; Metazoa; Nematoda; Chromadorea; Rhabditida; Heteroderidae.